UUUAUAAUCGGAAUAAGCAUCGACUUAUCUUCAAAUGCGAUAUUCCGAGCAGAAAGCAGAGGACUAUAUAAUAAUUGUUCAACCCUAAAGAACUUCGAAAGAAACAAGAUUUUUACUAUUUAUUUGAAGAUGAUACCCAAAAUCGCAAAAAGCGG
Saccostrea cuccullata (small rock oyster) is the source of this 155-nucleotide long non-coding RNA. RefSeq lists it as uncharacterized. The record is from RefSeq and is a predicted model, not a curated record. NCBI's taxonomy places the organism in Eukaryota, Metazoa, Mollusca, Bivalvia, Ostreida, Ostreidae. The transcript is spliced from 3 exons.